Molecule: RNA transcript, 2457 nt
Organism: Apus apus (common swift)
Lineage: Eukaryota; Metazoa; Chordata; Aves; Apodiformes; Apodidae
Gene: TPST1
Gene name: tyrosylprotein sulfotransferase 1
Exons: 6
Source: RefSeq, a predicted model, not a curated record
UCUCUUUUCUUUGUGAAGUGACAGUCUUUAUCAAGAUGGUGGGGAAGCUGAAGCAGAACUUGCUGCUGGCGUGCCUGGUGAUCAGCUCGGUGACCGUGUUCUACCUGGGCCAGCACGCCAUGGAGUGCCACCAUCGCAUAGAGGAGCGCAGCCAGCCCCUCCGGGUGGAGAGCCUGAGGAGCACGGUUAGAACUGCUUCCCAUGGGAACACCAACAAAACCUUUGCUUACAACAAAGACAUGCCUUUAAUAUUUAUUGGAGGAGUACCUCGGAGCGGCACCACCCUGAUGCGGGCCAUGCUGGAUGCACACCCGGAUAUCCGGUGCGGAGAGGAGACACGGGUCAUCCCACGGAUUCUGGCAGUGAAGCAGAUGUGGGCUAGAUCAAGCAAGGAGAAGAUCCGACUGGAUGAAGCUGGAGUCACAGAUGAGGUUUUGGACUCAGCCAUGCAAGCAUUUUUAUUGGAAAUAAUUGUGAAACACGGAGAGCCUGCUCCCUAUUUGUGUAACAAAGAUCCUUUUGCUCUAAAAUCCUUAACUUAUCUUGCUAGAAUUUUCCCCAAUGCCAAAUUCCUGCUAAUGGUCCGGGAUGGUCGUGCCUCUGUGCAUUCCAUGAUCUCUAGGAAGGUCACAAUAGCUGGGUUUGACCUUAACAGCUACAGGGACUGCCUGACCAAGUGGAAUCGUGCCAUAGAGACCAUGUAUAACCAGUGUAUGGAGGUUGGCUUUGAAAGGUGCAUGCUGGUACACUAUGAACAACUGGUGCUGCACCCUGAAAGGUGGAUGAGAACUCUCUUAAAGUUUCUUCGCAUCCCGUGGAACCAAGCAGUGCUGCACCAUGAAGAAAUGAUUGGAAAAGCAGGGGGUGUUUCCCUUUCAAAAGUUGAAAGAUCUACUGACCAAGUAAUCAAGCCAGUCAAUGUGGAAGCAUUGUCAAAGUGGGUUGGGAAGAUACCUGCUGAUGUCCUGCAAGAUAUGCCAGUGAUUGCACCCAUGCUGGCUAAACUGGGCUAUGAUCCCUAUGCCAACCCACCAAACUAUGGGAAGCCAGAUCAAAAAGUUGUGGAAAACACAAGGAGGGUCUAUAAAGGUGAAUUUCAGCUUCCUGACUUUCUUAAAGAAGUGCCACAGCCAAAGAAGACAGUAGAAAGGAGGUCCCGUGGCAAGAUAAAAUGAACACGGAUCAGUAAAGUCGAAUUAGCUGCAGUGUCUGUUUCGUGUUUUCAGAAUAUAACUCUUUGCUGUGGACACCACAUCUUUCUGGCCAGUCUGUGUGACCUCUGCCGUGGGCUUUGCUGUCACUGCUGCCUGUGCUCCCCUCCCAGCACCCCGUGCCCGUGCUUGGCAGGCUGUGCUCAGCUCCCAGGGCACCCCGGCAGCUCCUGCUGCUGCUCACACCCUCCCGCCCUGCCCAGAGCCUCUCUGCAGCUUCCUGGCAAGGCAGCUCUUUGCAAUGGCUGCUGCUUAAAAGUUACUGUCAGCAAACUGUGUUGAGAAAGUGUGCUGUGGUUCUUUCUAAUGCUUCCAAAGGCAAUCGCUGUGGUUAUCUCAAGAUUAUCUACAACCUUACAGAUAAAGGGGCAGCACAAAUGGCUGCAGCCUGGGGUGUGUCAACACCACUGCUGAGGAUUCCUGGAAGAGGCAGGGAGAUGAGCUACCUUUAACAUUUAGCAGACUGUAGAGAUGGCGUGCUAGCAAAAUAAGUAAUCCUUGGUCUGCCCACAGAACCCAUUAGUUAAAUGAUGCUGGUUGUUUUUUCCAGUUAUCUUGUGACACAUCAAAAGAACUCAGUCCACUCUUUCCAGCAAAUGUCCCCGUGAUAGGGAGGUUCCAAAAUGGGACUCUGCUGAAUUUCAGGAAGUGGAUUUAUACAGCUACCUUGACUGAACCUAUGGAAUAGAAGAUAAAACGGAUAUUUCUUGCACAGAAGGAAAAAGACUUCUGCCUUUUCCAUGGAAAUGCUCUUACAAGGACAGACCCACUGAGCUCAGUGAGGGGCCAGUGCUCCUGGCCUGCUUUUUUCAGAAUUUUUUCCUCAGUUUCUUUCAUACUGUUUUUGUUCAAAAUUUUGUUGUUGUGAGCAUGUAAACGUUAAAAGAAAAAACCAACCACAAAACGAACUGAUGUUCCUGUAGAACUGUAUUACAUUUGCACAACUAUUUUUUUAAGGUUUAAAAAACAAAACAACAAAGUAAUGCCUGUCUCUGUAAUUGUUCUUCUCUUUUAAUUCCAAAACCCCCAUCUUCAAAGACUUUUUUUCCUGUAGCAGUUGGGUUUUAAAUGUACAAAGCUUUCAAGAGUGGUCUGUGCUUGUCCUAGAAGACUUUUGGUGGAGGAGUUUUAUUCAUAUGUGGAAAUUGUUAAAUGUCUUUUAUUUAAAAAAAAAAAAUGCACAUGUACAAUGACAAUUCAAUGAUCUUUUGUAUUUUAUUUUUCAAAAUAAAUGCUUUAAAUGUGA